CAAGAACAUUCUUUGAACUACCGAUUUGCAGCCAUCAAAAAGCUAAACUCCAACCAGCUUUCUAAUUUGAAGCAGCUGAGUGGAGGAAUGUUGCAGUAACAAGCCCAUGCACAACCCCAAGUCUCUACAUCACCGGUUAUUUAACCUACACAAGACAGGCUCACUGUCCAUGAGGGGGGCAUCAGCAGCAGACGUGUCCACAUCAGUAAAAAUGGAAUCGUCACCAAGCACCG
This is a non-coding RNA of Oryzias latipes (Japanese medaka), 233 nucleotides long. Lineage: Eukaryota; Metazoa; Chordata; Actinopteri; Beloniformes; Adrianichthyidae. The record is from RefSeq and is a predicted model, not a curated record.